GUUUCUAUUGGGGCCUUUUCAGGAACCUCCAUUUUCUGGUUGGAGGACAACCAAUUCACCCAUCUCUAUGGCACCUGCACGGUAUUAAGUAGAAAGGCCUGUAUUAUUUUUUCACCAGACUUACUUUCGGAUCAAAAAGCAGCCCAAAAAUAUUCAACACAUUUGCAAAGACUUUGUGCUUGGUAUUAAUUAAUACAUUAUGCUGUCCAACAGUAAUCCAUUAUAUGGAUGAUUUCCUGUUUAUCAAAAACAAUACUCAAUACUCGGGACAUUCUUUUAGGAUAGG
Molecule: non-coding RNA, 286 nt
Organism: Pelobates cultripes (western spadefoot toad)
Lineage: Eukaryota; Metazoa; Chordata; Amphibia; Anura; Pelobatidae
Source: the annotation of a GenBank genome assembly